This 552-nucleotide ribosomal RNA is filed under the name Stauronematus compressicornis. Its description in RNAcentral is "eukaryotic LSU rRNA". It matches the Rfam family "Eukaryotic large subunit ribosomal RNA", at positions 287 to 648 of the family's 3401-position model. Lineage: Eukaryota; Metazoa; Arthropoda; Insecta; Hymenoptera; Tenthredinidae. The record is from RNAcentral.
UCUAAGUGGGUGGUAAACUCCAUCUAAGGCUAAAUAUUACCACGAGACCGAUAGCGAACAAGUCCCGUGAGGGAAAGUUGAAAAGAACUUUAAAGAGAGAGUUCAAGAGUACGUGAAACCGUUCAGGGGUAAACCUGAGAAACCCGAAAGAUCGAACGGGGAGAUUCAUCGUCAGCGACUCUGGCUUCUCCGUGGUUCGCGAUGCCGGGGACACCCGUGUUCCACGGCACGCGGCCGCGGUCGUACGCCCGGUGGCGCCGGCGUGCACUUCUCCCCCAGUAGGACGUCGCGAUCCGUUGGGUGUCGGUCUACGGCUCGGUUGGUCGCCUGUCCCGGCGUUCGCGUCGGGGCAGACCCCCGGUUGCCCGGCGGUACACGCUCGGUAUAGAGUCGCAUCGAACUGCGUCGGGCCCGCCGCAAGCGAGGUCAGCGAUUCCCGGUGGUCGGACCUAGCGCCGUCCCCGGGCCUGGCCGGCUGUCGGCCGGCGGUGUCCUCUGACUGGCUCAUUUCGUACCCGUCGGCGACGCUAUUGCUUUGGGUACUUUCAGGAC